CUCCCACCUCAAGUCUCCCGCAGCUUCCCGGCGGCGGGCGUCGCUCUCAGCGAGAACAACUAGCUCCUGCCCUCGCCGCGGGUCUGCUUCUGGGGAGACAUCGCACAGGUUGGGGGGAGGUUUGGCUCCGCCUCUCAUCUGGGCCUUCCCCCGACACACCCAAAUGGAAGGGGACGUCGGUCAGUGAAUCAGCCGGCCCAAAGAGAGGUUUGGAGUUACAGACAAGGAGAACCGAUGGACCCGAGAAAGGUGGGCUCCAUGGCACUUGGCCAUCGGGACUACACCCAAACUCUCGGGGAGGAAGCGAAAUGAACCCUUCUGUACACGCUCGGGCCGCUGGAGGUUUGGGGACCCUGGUAAGGUGCGCCGGCCCCACAGGCCGCACUCUUCCGACCCUUGGCAUCUGAGAAGGAGCCUUCGGACCUGGACAGUCCAGAUGCACCCAACCUGCUCUGACAGCUGCAGAGCGAGAAGCACCUGAUGACGGGACUCAGGCACGUUUCACCUGAGCAUCCUGAUUGCACCGGCUCAGGCUCCCAGCCAACCAAAACAGUGGCACCUGUUGAUUGAGGUUGCGAUUUCUAUGGAAGCCUCUAACAAUUUAACCCCUCACUGUCCCCUGAGAAUUUUCAGACCUAGUUUGGGGCUCAUAAAUGCUAGGCCAUCCAUGAAAGAGUUUGGGGGGGUGGGAGUGGGGAGUCCAUGAACACGCUGAAAUUGUGUAGAAUAUUUUGGGUUUAUGUAUGUUUCUGGAGAAAGAGUAUAGAGUGUAUCAGAUUCCCGAGGGGAUCUAUCACCUCCCCCCAAACAUCAAGAAUGUUUUAAUAGUUUGGGAUGCUGGACCUCUCACCAGCCAGGCUUCUGAUUCUGAUUCCAUCUCCACCCAAUUGGCAUAUACCAAGUGUCCCAGAUGUAAAUCCGCUAAUGGUCAAUUAUAGGAAUGGUCUUAAAGUAAAAACAGAAGAAAACUAAAGGAUUGAGCAUUUGCAAGACAAAGAAUUAAUUUCAUGAAAAUUGAUUUCCUAAUGAAGAUGCGAUAAGCUCCAUCUUUACAAAAACAAAGUUGACAAACAGGUGUUUCUUUUUUUUAGGUUUCUCAAAUCCUAGCCACACUGCACAUGGCAUUGAACUAACAGAGAUAAAAGAACUGCUUAUACCCACCAUUAAGGAGAGAGAAUCAGUUUGUGCCAAAACCACCAUGUACAACUUUGUCUUAGUGCAUUUAUAUAAAAUAAAACACUUCCCUUAUAGUUAGGUCACCUAGCUCUGAAGAAUGCCAGGUGUGUGGGAGGUUAAUAUAAAUUAACUUUGACAAAUAAGGGUAGUGUAAACCCUUAAAAGAACUCCAUUUAUAAUCAGGAUUAUAUGUAAAUGUACAGCACUAAGAUUUAAAAGUUUAUUGUUACAAGGAUCUGUUUACUUGGGUCAAGCUGUCUUGUCACCCUUGAUGUACUGAGCUGUGUUCAUCUGUUUAAGACAUGUAAAUAACAUAGGUUCCUUGCAUAAUAAUACUCAAACUAAUUAGGGCACUUCAGAUUUAA
This is a long non-coding RNA of Aethalodelphis obliquidens (Pacific white-sided dolphin), 1541 nucleotides long. RefSeq lists it as uncharacterized. NCBI's taxonomy places the organism in Eukaryota, Metazoa, Chordata, Mammalia, Artiodactyla, Delphinidae. The record is from RefSeq and is a predicted model, not a curated record. The transcript has 2 exons.